This 253-nucleotide ribosomal RNA is filed under the name uncultured bacterium. RNAcentral describes it as "partial 16S ribosomal RNA". It matches the Rfam family "Bacterial small subunit ribosomal RNA", at positions 524 to 776 of the family's 1533-position model. The record is from RNAcentral.
UACGUAGGUGGCGAGCGUUGUCCGGAUUUACUGGGCGUAAAGCGCGCGCAGGCGGCAGUCUAAGUCCUCUGUGAAAUCACCCGGCUCAACUGGGUGGCUGCGGAGGAGACUGGGCAGCUUGAGGGGCCUAGAGGCCGGUGGAACUCCCGGUGUAGUGGUGAAAUACGUAGAGAUUGGGAAGAACACCAGUGGCGAAGGCGGCUAUCUGGACGGUUUCUGACACUAAGACUCGAAAGCGUGGGGAGCAAACAGG